Molecule: ribosomal RNA, 483 nt
Filed under: swine fecal bacterium FPC49
Lineage: Bacteria
Description: bacterial SSU rRNA
Rfam family: Bacterial small subunit ribosomal RNA
Source: RNAcentral
GAGAGUUUGAUCCUGGCUCAGGACGAACGCUGGCGGCGUGCCUAACACAUGCAAGUCGAGCGAGGAGAUUCCCUUCGGGGAUGAACCUAGCGGCGGACGGGUGAGUAACACGUAGGCAACCUGCCUUAUAGAGGGGAAUAGCCUUCCGAAAGGAAGAUUAAUACCGCAUAACAUUACAUUUUCGCAUGAAGAAGUAAUUAAAGGAGUAAUCCGCUAUAAGAUGGGCCCGCGGCGCAUUAGCUAGUUGGUGAGGUAACGGCUCACCAAGGCGACGAUGCGUAGCCGACCUGAGAGGGUGAUCGGCCACAUUGGGACUGAGACACGGCCCAGACUCCUACGGGAGGCAGCAGUGGGGAAUAUUGCACAAUGGGGGAAACCCUGAUGCAGCAACGCCGCGUGAGUGAUGAAGGUCUUCGGAUCGUAAAGCUCUGUCUUCAGGGACGAUAAUGACGGUACCUGAGGAGGAAGCCACGGCUAACUACG